Molecule: transfer RNA, 87 nt
Filed under: Pseudomonadota bacterium
Lineage: Bacteria; Pseudomonadati; Pseudomonadota
Description: Proteobacteria bacterium (activated sludge metagenome) tRNA-Leu
Rfam family: tRNA
About the family: Transfer RNA (tRNA) molecules are approximately 80 nucleotides in length. Their secondary structure includes four short double-helical elements and three loops (D, anti-codon, and T loops).
Source: RNAcentral
GCCCCAAUGGCGGAACUGGUAGACGCGCCGGACUCAAAAUCCGGUUCUGGCAACAGAGUGUGGGUUCGAUUCCCUCUUGGGGCACCA